Molecule: ribosomal RNA, 253 nt
Filed under: uncultured bacterium
Lineage: Bacteria
Description: partial 16S ribosomal RNA
Rfam family: Bacterial small subunit ribosomal RNA
Source: RNAcentral
UACGUAGGUCCCAAGCGUUAUCCGGAGUUACUGGGCGUAAAGUGUCUGUAGCUGGUUUUGUAAGUCUUUUUUCAAAUACUCUGACUCAAUCAGAGAAAGGGAAAGGAUACUGCAUUACUAGAGAAAUUCAGAGGUUAAUGGAAUUCCUGGUGGAGCGGUGAAAUGUGUUGAUAUCAGGAGGAACGCCAAAAGCGAAAGCAGUUAACUAUGAAUUUUCUGACAGUGAGAGACGAAAGCUUGGGUAGCAAACGGG